This 298-nucleotide signal recognition particle RNA is filed under the name Cebus imitator (Panamanian white-faced capuchin). Its description in RNAcentral is "Metazoan signal recognition particle RNA (ENSCCAG00000005873.1)". It matches the Rfam family "Metazoan signal recognition particle RNA". Rfam says of the family: The signal recognition particle (SRP) is a universally conserved ribonucleoprotein. It is involved in the co-translational targeting of proteins to membranes. The record is from RNAcentral. Lineage: Eukaryota; Metazoa; Chordata; Mammalia; Primates; Cebidae.
UCCAGGCGUCGUGGUGUGUGCCUGUCGUCCCAGCUAUCGGGAGGCUGAGGCUGGAGGAUCGCUUGAGCCCAGGAGUUGUAGGCUGUAGUGCGCUAUGCUGAUCAGGUGUCUGCACUAGGUUCGGCAUCAAUAUGGUGACCUCCUGGGAGUGGGGGACCACCAGGUUGCCUAAGGAGGGGUGAGCCGGCCCAGGUCGGAAAUGGAGCAGGUCAAAACUCCUGUGCUGAUCAGUAGCAGGAUCGCGCCUGUGAAUAGCCACUGCACUCCAGCCUGGGCAACAUAGCAAGACUCCGUCUCU